Molecule: ribosomal RNA, 370 nt
Filed under: uncultured bacterium
Lineage: Bacteria
Description: bacterial SSU rRNA
Rfam family: Bacterial small subunit ribosomal RNA
Source: RNAcentral
GUAGUCCACGCCGUAAACGAUGCUAACUCGUUUUUGGGUCUUCGGAUUCAGAGACUAAGCGAAAGUGAUAAGUUAGCCACCUGGGGAGUACGAACGCAAGUUUGAAACUCAAAGGAAUUGACGGGGGCCCGCACAAGCGGUGGAUUAUGUGGUUUAAUUCGAUGAUACGCGAGGAACCUUACCAAGGCUUAAAUGGGAAUUGACCGGUUUAGAAAUAGACCUUCCUUCGGGCAAUUUUCAAGGUGCUGCAUGGUUGUCGUCAGCUCGUGCCGUGAGGUGUUAGGUUAAGUCCUGCAACGAGCGCAACCCCUGUCACUAGUUGCUAACAUUCAGUUGAGGACUCUAGUGAGACUGCCUACGCAAGUAGAGA